GGGCGGUCAGCGCUCUGCCGGCCCCCGCUCUGCCGGCCCCCACACCGGGGCUCCGGGAAAUGGUGUUCCUAGGGAAGGGUGCUGCCCCCGCUUCGGGGCGAGGCGGGGUUGUGGAGAGUCAGAGAGCAGCAGCGGGACGGGGCUGCGCUGGCUGAGGCGUGCAAAUUCACCUGCCAGGAGAGGUUUGGGAAGGAGAAAGGCUUUGAGCCCCUGCAAUCACAGCGGGUUUAUCUCAGCCCUUCAGAAAAUCAACAGGAGCGGAGCUGCUCCAGAGCUGUAUGCUCAGCCUCAUUCUGUGCAAGCCCUUUUUCCUACAGGAUCACUUUUAAUUUCUCAGAAGUGUCUGCAGCUCAUCCUGCUCCGGCAAAAUUCAUGCUGGCCUUGGAGACAUUGCUGAAAAUAUUUAGCUCCCUGAAGAGCUGGGCUUCAAAUCUUCAAACAAGGAAGCCAGGUACAGCUCCUCCGAAGUGUGGCUUUCUCAAACAUGUAGAAACCAGAGGCAUCCAACCCUCACCUUCCUUGGCUGUCCAUGAAAAAUCGAGAGAGACACAAAGACUUUCUGAAAUUAAUGAUGAACACAGGAGCCUUGUCUCGAGUGCUUCUCCUCACCCAUCCACCAAGAGUGUCCCUCCUGGCAGAAGGAAAAUGUGAUUGAUUUGCUUUGAUUUUUGCUUAGGGUGUUUGCGAACAUGGAUUUAUGGCCUUUUAAUGGUGCAGCCACUUGCAAGUUAGAUGGGUUGUUUUGGUUGCUGGUUUUGGUGCCUCUAGACUGAACUGCAUUGUAGGGGUCUGUCAGUCCCUUUUAUUUUAAGUGUAGGGAUAUUUCUGCCCCUUUCUUCCCAUUCCCAAGGCUUGCAAAAGAGCUGGGAGAGACAUCCAACCUGUUCCCUACUGCAGAGAGGAUUUCACGGCUAAAAAAUAAAGUUUAGUGUAUUAAAUA
This is a long non-coding RNA of Pseudopodoces humilis (Tibetan ground-tit), 940 nucleotides long. RefSeq lists it as uncharacterized. NCBI's taxonomy places the organism in Eukaryota, Metazoa, Chordata, Aves, Passeriformes, Paridae. The record is from RefSeq and is a predicted model, not a curated record.